Molecule: ribosomal RNA, 414 nt
Filed under: uncultured bacterium
Lineage: Bacteria
Description: bacterial SSU rRNA
Rfam family: Bacterial small subunit ribosomal RNA
Source: RNAcentral
UAGGGAAUAUUGCACAAUGGGGGAAACCCUGAUGCAGCGACGCCGCGUGAGUGAAGAAGUAUUUCGGUAUGUAAAGCUCUAUCAGCAGGGACGAGAAUGACGGUACCUGACUAAGAAGCCCCGGCUAACUACGUGCCAGCAGCCGCGGUAAUACGUAGGGGGCAAGCGUUAUCCGGAUUUACUGGGUGUAAAGGGAGCGUAGACGGCGUAGCAAGUCUGAAGUGAAAGGCUGGGGCUCAACCCCGGGACUGCUUUGGAAACUGUUAGGCUGGAGUGCAGGAGAGGUAAGUGGAAUUCCUAGUGUAGCGGUGAAAUGCGUAGAUAUUAGGAGGAACACCAGUGGCGAAGGCGGCUUUCUGGACUGAAACUGACACUGAGGCACGAAAGUGUGGGGAGCAAACAGGAUUAGAUACC